RNAcentral lists this ribosomal RNA (510 nucleotides) under uncultured bacterium. RNAcentral describes it as "partial 16S ribosomal RNA". It matches the Rfam family "Bacterial small subunit ribosomal RNA", at positions 28 to 507 of the family's 1533-position model. The record is from RNAcentral.
GACGAACGCUGGCGGCGUGCUUAACACAUGCAAGUCGAACGAAGAGCGAUGGAAGCUUGCUUCUAUCAAUCUUAGUGGCGAACGGGUGAGUAACGCGUAAUCAACCUGCCCUUCAGAGGGGGACAACAGUUGGAAACGACUGCUAAUACCACAUACGAUCUAAUCUCGGCAUCGAGGAUAGAUGAAAGGUGGCCUCUACAUGUAAGCUAUCACUGAAGGAGGGGAUUGCGUCUGAUUAGCUAGUUGGAGGGGUAACGGCCCACCAAGGCGAUGAUCAGUAGCCGGUCUGAGAGGAUGAACGGCCACAUUGGGACUGAGACACGGCCCAGACUCCUACGGGAGGCAGCAGUGGGGAAUCUUCCGCAAUGGACGAAAGUCUGACGGAGCAACGCCGCGUGAGUGAUGACGGCCUUCGGGUUGUAAAGCUCUGUUAAUCGGGACGAAAGGCCUUCUUGCGAAUAGUGAGAAGGAUUGACGGUACCGGAAUAGAAAGCCACGGCUAACUACGUG